This 347-nucleotide long non-coding RNA is filed under the name Chrysemys picta bellii (western painted turtle). RNAcentral's name for it is "lncRNA (ENSCPBG00000003533.1)". The record is from RNAcentral. Lineage: Eukaryota; Metazoa; Chordata; Testudines; Emydidae.
ACAUGGCAGCAGGCGCCGUGCGUGGGGAGGAUCAACAUGCUGCAUGUUCAGUUGGACUUCUCUCCCUGGCUCCCUUCGAGGAUGAAAGGAGAUAAUGUAAUCUAUCCUGUGCCAAAUAGGGACCCGAGGGCUGGCCUUACAGGUGUGUGACAUGGGCGACCAUCCAGGGCUCCGCAGUCGGAGGGCGGUGGGCGCCAUCUGAGUGCCAGAAGCUGCGUGCCUGGGCUGCUGGAGUGGGGUGAGUGCAGGCAAGCCCGGGGCUGGAGCCCCUGACCAAUCAGGCGGGAGGCGGGUGAUGCCUUCCAGAGCUGCAAGCCUGGUGGUGAGCCACAGGCAGCAGGGCUCAU